Molecule: ribosomal RNA, 430 nt
Filed under: uncultured bacterium
Lineage: Bacteria
Description: bacterial SSU rRNA
Rfam family: Bacterial small subunit ribosomal RNA
Source: RNAcentral
ACUCCUACGGGAGGCAGCAGUGAGGAAUAUUGGGCAAUGGAGGCAACUCUGACCCAGCCAUGCCGCGUGCAGGAAUAAGGUCCUAUGGAUUGUAAACUGCUUUUAUACAGGAAGAAACCUCUCUACGUGUAGGGACUUGACGGUACUGUAUGAAUAAGCACCGGCUAACUCCGUGCCAGCAGCCGCGGUAAUACGGAGGGUGCAAGCGUUAUCCGGAAUCAUUGGGUUUAAAGGGUCCGCAGGCGGUCAAUUAAGUCAGAGGUGAAAUCCAGUCGCUUAACGAUUGAACUGCCUUUGAUACUGGUUGACUUGAGUCAUAUGGAAGUAGAUAGAAUGUGUAGUGUAGCGGUGAAAUGCUUAGAUAUUACACAGAAUACCGAUUGCGAAGGCAGUCUACUACGUAUGUACUGACGCUCAUGGACGAAAGCGU